AGCACCGUGUGUCUUUGUUGACAUGGUAGACAAAGACUUAAGGACAGGUGCAAAAGUAAAUCCUCUUUUGAAACUCCAGAACUCACUGUUCAGUGUGAGUUUGAAUACAUGUAAGAAGGACUAUG
Molecule: small nucleolar RNA, 125 nt
Organism: Nannospalax galili (Upper Galilee mountains blind mole rat)
Lineage: Eukaryota; Metazoa; Chordata; Mammalia; Rodentia; Spalacidae
Source: Ensembl